CAUGUCACAAAUUAGAAACGAAUGCACUACAAAAGCACAAUAUAAUAAAUCAAAGCCCUUUUCUUCUAUAAUUCUCUCUCUCCACAUCAGAAUUACAUACAUUACAACUCAGCAUGACUUUACACGUAUAAUCAAAAUCCUUGUUUUAAAAACAAGGCCUAGGAAGUUUAACUAAAUUGCUUGGGUUAUAGCAGAGGAGGAAAUGCCUGCUAGUUUCUUCCAUGUUCGCUUGACAUUUAACUUGUUUCUCACUGAGACCCAGAUUCUCACACUUCUGAACUCAUAGAAAGUAAAAUUCCCCCGAAGAGCAGGCAGAAUGCUUUAUAAAUUCUGUGUCCCGAAUAACUAAGUACAAUAAAUGGAGAUAAACUACUUCCCAAAAUAUUUGAUUUGUUUUCUAAGUGACACAGAAUUAAAUAAGAUGUAUUUCCAAAUAAAAACAGCCAAGAAUGGACAUAAUUUUCCCAAUUUGCAUCUCUCUUGAUCAAAUACAGUAUUCUGACUUCCUACAAGAGAAAAAAAUUCUGUUCAAACAAAAUGAUUCUAGAGAGCUGAUUUAGGAGAGAGUUGUUCAUUUUCUUCUUUCAGUGAAAAUAAAAUGCGAAUGACAAAGCAAUCCUUUAGAUAGCCAGAUAAAUACAGAGGAAAAGGCCAAGUGGGAAGAGACAAUGAAAAGCAAAGGAAGAGAGCUCUUUAAGGGAAUAAGAUGAACAAUUAUUUGAGAAAGGUCAUACCAAAGAAAAACUGGCUCAACUUCACUCAGCCUAUCUCUCUGCCAUUGCUUUUACUCUGCUGAUCAUGCCUCCUCCAUUUGGUCAAGUUUUGGCCAUUAGGGAGUUUUUUUAUAGUGCCAACAGAUAACGUGCAUAAAGCAUAAUGUUG
This 882-nucleotide long non-coding RNA is filed under the name Bos taurus (domestic cattle). RNAcentral describes it as "long non-coding RNA NONBTAT025667". The record is from RNAcentral. Lineage: Eukaryota; Metazoa; Chordata; Mammalia; Artiodactyla; Bovidae.